GGUCCACACCUGAAGAAUAUAUUCCCAAAUAAACAACAUGCCCCCACCGAAGGGUUACAAUUCCCUGAUGGUAGUA
Molecule: transfer RNA, 76 nt
Filed under: Cyema atrum (bobtail snipe eel)
Lineage: Eukaryota; Metazoa; Chordata; Actinopteri; Anguilliformes; Cyematidae
Description: tRNA-Met
Source: RNAcentral